CCCAAAGUUAUAGCUAAGUGGGAAACGAUGUGGGAAGGCUCAGACAGCCAGGAUGUUGGCUUAGAAGCAGCCAUCAUUUAAAGAAAGCGUAAUAGCUCACUGGUCGAGUCGGCCUGCGCGGAAGAUGUAACGGGGCUAAGCUAUACACCGAAGCUGCGGCAGUGCAAUUUAUUGUGCUGGGUAGGGGAGCGUUCUGUAAGCCGUCGAAGGUGUGCUGUAAGGCAUGCUGGAGGUAUCAGAAGUGCGAAUGCUGACAUGAGUAACGAUAAAGGGGGUGAAAAACCCCCUCGCCGGAAGACCAAGGGUUCCUGUCCAACGUUAAUCGGGGCAGGGUAAGUCGACCCCUAAGGCGAGGCUGAAAAGCGUAGUCGAUGGGAAACGGGUUAAUAUUCCCGUACUUCUUAUAAUUGCGAUGGGGGGACGGAGAAGGCUAGGUGGGCUUGGCGACGGUCGUCCAAGUUCAAGUGCGUAGGCUAAGAGUUUAGGUAAAUCCGGACUCUUGUUAGGCUGAGACACGAUGUCGAGCACCUACGGGUGUGAAGCCAUUGAUGCCAUGCUUCCAGGAAAAGCCUCUAAGCUUCAGAUUAUAAGAAAUCGUACCCCAAACCGACACAGGUGGUCGAGUAGAGAAUACUAAGGCGCUUGAGAGAACUCGGGUGAAGGAACUAGGCAAAAUGGUACCGUAACUUCGGGAGAAGGUACGCUCCUAGCGGUGAUGAGACUUGCUCUCUAAGCUGCCGGGAGUCGCAGAUACCAGGUGGCUGCAACUGUUUAUUAAAAACAUAGCACUGUGCUAAAUCGUAAGAUGACGUAUACGGUGUGACGCCUGCCCGGUGCUUGAAGGUUAAUUGAUGGGGUUAGACUUCGGUCGAAGCUCUUGAUCGAAGCCCAAGUAAACGGCGGCCGUAACUAUAACGGUCCUAAGGUAGCGAAAUUCCUUGUCGGGUAAGUUCCGACCUGCACGAAUGGCGUAAUGAUGGCCACGCUGUCUCCACCCGAGACUCAGUGAAAUUGAAAUCGCUGUGAAGAUGCAGUGUACCCGCGGCUAGACGGAAAGACCCCGUGAACCUUUACUACAGCUUGGCACUGAACAUUGACCCUACAUGUGUAGGAUAGGUGGGAGCCUUUGAAACCAGUACGCUAGUAUUGGUGGAGGCAAUCUUGAAAUACCACCCUUGUAUGCUUGAUGUUCUAACGUUGGCCCCUUAUCGGGGUUGCGGACAGUGCCUGGUGGGUAGUUUGACUGGGGCGGUCUCCUCCCAAAGAGUAACGGAGGAGCACGAAGGUGGGCUAAACACGGUUGGACAUCGUGUGGUUAGUGCAAUGGCAUAAGCCCGCUUGACUGCGAGAAUGACAAUUCGAGCAGGUGCGAAAGCAGGUCAUAGUGAUCCGGUGGUUCUGAAUGGAAGGGCCAUCGCUCAACGGAUAAAAGGUACUCCGGGGAUAACAGGCUGAUACCGCCCAAGAGUUCAUAUCGACGGCGGUGUUUGGCACCUCGAUGUCGGCUCAUCACAUCCUGGGGCUGAAGUCGGUCCCAAGGGUAUGGCUGUUCGCCAUUUAAAGUGGUACGCGAGCUGGGUUUAGAACGUCGUGAGACAGUUCGGUCCCUAUCUGCCGUGGGCGUUGGAUGAUUGAAAGGGGCUGCUCCUAGUACGAGAGGACCGGAGUGGACGAACCUCUGGUGUUCGGGUUGUUACGCCAGUAGCAUUGCCCGGUAGCUAAGUUCGGGAUCGAUAAACGCUGAAAGCAUCUAAGCGUGAAGCGAGCCUUGAGAUGAGUCAUCCCUGAUACUUUAAGUAUCCUAAAGGGUUGU
This 1813-nucleotide ribosomal RNA is filed under the name Aliivibrio wodanis. RNAcentral's name for it is "bacterial LSU rRNA". It matches the Rfam family "Bacterial large subunit ribosomal RNA", at positions 1046 to 2838 of the family's 2925-position model. Lineage: Bacteria; Pseudomonadati; Pseudomonadota; Gammaproteobacteria; Vibrionales; Vibrionaceae. The record is from RNAcentral.